GGGCUCGGUAGGGACACGCCCGUGUGACACGGCCGUGUGCGAUUGCUUAAGGCCGUGGUCAAGCCUGUUAAAUAAGCACGGGCGUGUGGUCCACCCGUGUGAGUCAUGCUUCGAUUCUGCCAAAUUGACACGGCCGUGUGGUCUGCCUGCGUGAGAAGGUUCAGGUUGUGUUGAUUUCGUACGUUGGCCCAUUUUCUCCGUUUUUGGCCCGUUUCCCAUUCCUUUCACUCUCCUAUGCUCACCUAUGUAUAAAACAUGAAAUUAAGCAUUAUGAGCAUCAAAU
Molecule: long non-coding RNA, 283 nt
Filed under: Gossypium barbadense (sea-island cotton)
Lineage: Eukaryota; Viridiplantae; Streptophyta; Magnoliopsida; Malvales; Malvaceae
Description: long non-coding RNA (GBAR_LNC006487)
Source: RNAcentral